RNAcentral lists this ribosomal RNA (460 nucleotides) under uncultured bacterium. RNAcentral describes it as "partial 16S ribosomal RNA". It matches the Rfam family "Bacterial small subunit ribosomal RNA", at positions 338 to 795 of the family's 1533-position model. The record is from RNAcentral.
CCUACGGGAGGCAGCAGUGAGGAAUAUUGGUCAAUGGACGAGAGUCUGAACCAGCCAAGUAGCGUGAAGGAUGACUGCCCUAUGGGUUGUAAACUUCUUUUAUAUGGGAAUAAAAUGUUCCACGUGUGGGAUUUUGUAUGUACCAUAUGAAUAAGGAUCGGCUAACUCCGUGCCAGCAGCCGCGGUAAUACGGAGGAUCCGAGCGUUAUCCGGAUUUAUUGGGUUUAAAGGGAGCGUAGGUGGAUUGUUAAGUCAGUUGUGAAAGUUUGCGGCUCAACCGUAAAAUUGCAGUUGAAACUGGCAGUCUUGAGUACAGUAGAGGUGGGCGGAAUUCGGGGUGUAGCGGUGAAAUGCUUAGAGAUCACGAAGAACUCCGAUUGCGAAGGCAGUUCACUGGACUGCAACUGACACUGAGGCUCGAAAGUGUGGGUAUCAAACAGGAUUAGAUACCCGGGUAGUC